This 186-nucleotide ribosomal RNA is filed under the name Vibrio parahaemolyticus. Its description in RNAcentral is "partial 23S ribosomal RNA". It matches the Rfam family "Bacterial large subunit ribosomal RNA", at positions 1719 to 1889 of the family's 2925-position model. Lineage: Bacteria; Pseudomonadati; Pseudomonadota; Gammaproteobacteria; Vibrionales; Vibrionaceae. The record is from RNAcentral.
AAAAUGGUACCGUAACUUCGGGAGAAGGUACGCUCUCGACGGUGAAGUCCCUCGCGGAUGGAGCUAUUGAGAGUCGCAGAUACCAGGUGGCUGCAACUGUUUAUUAAAAACACAGCACUGUGCAAAAUCGUAAGAUGACGUAUACGGUGUGACGCCUGCCCGGUGUCGGGAGGAUGAUUGAUCUGG